This 1441-nucleotide ribosomal RNA is filed under the name Klebsiella pneumoniae. RNAcentral's name for it is "bacterial SSU rRNA". It matches the Rfam family "Bacterial small subunit ribosomal RNA". Lineage: Bacteria; Pseudomonadati; Pseudomonadota; Gammaproteobacteria; Enterobacterales; Enterobacteriaceae. The record is from RNAcentral.
GAGUAAUGUCUGGGAAACUGCCUGAUGGAGGGGGAUAACUACUGGAAACGGUAGCUAAUACGCAUAACGUCGCAAGACCAAAGUGGGGGACCUUCGGGCCUCAUGCCAUCAGAUGUGCCCAGAUGGGAUUAGCUAGUAGGUGGGGUAACGGCUCACCUAGGCGACGAUCCCUAGCUGGUCUGAGAGGAUGACCAGCCACACUGGAACUGAGACACGGUCCAGACUCCUACGGAGGCAGCAGUGGGGAAUAUUGCACAAUGGGCGCAAGCCUGAUGCAGCCAUGCCGCGUGUGUGAAGAAGGCCUUCGGGUUGUAAAGCACUUUCAGCGGGGAGGAAGGCGGUAAGGUUAAUAACCCUGGCGAUUGACGUUACCCGCAGAAGAAGCACCGGCUAACUCCGUGCCAGCAGCCGCGGUAAUACGGAGAAGCGUUAAUCGGAAUUACUGGGCGUAAAGCGCACGCAGGCGGUCUGUCAAGUCGGAUGUGAAAUCCCCGGGCUCAACCUGGGAACUGCAUUCGAAACUGGCAGGCUAGAGUCUUGUAGAGGGGGGUAGAAUUCCAGGUGUAGCGGUGAAAUGCGUAGAGAUCUGGAGGAAUACCGGUGGCGAAGGCGGCCCCCUGGACAAAGACUGACGCUCAGGUGCGAAAGCGUGGGGAGCAAACAGGAUUAGAUACCCUGGUAGUCCACGCCGUAAACGAUGUCGAUUUGGAGGUUGUGCCCUUGAGGCGUGGCUUCCGGAGCUAACGCGUUAAAUCGACCGCCUGGGGAGUACGGCCGCAAGGUUAAAACUCAAAUGAAUUGACGGGGGCCCGCACAAGCGGUGGAGCAUGUGGUUUAAUUCGAUGCAACGCGAAGAACCUUACCUGGUCUUGACAUCCACAGAACUUUCCAGAGAUGGAUUGGUGCCUUCGGGAACUGUGAGACAGGUGCUGCAUGGCUGUCGUCAGCUCGUGUUGUGAAAUGUUGGGUUAAGUCCCAACAACGAGCGCAACCCUUAUCCUUUGUUGCCAGCGGUUCGGCCGGGAACUCAAAGGAGACUGCCAGUGAUAAACUGGAGGAAGGUGGGGAUGACGUCAAGUCAUCAUGGCCCUUACGACCAGGGCUACACACGUGCUACAAUGGCAUAUACAAAGAGAAGCGACCUCGCGAGAGCAAGCGGACCUCAUAAAGUAUGUCGUAGUCCGGAUUGGAGUCUGCAACUCGACUCCAUGAAGUCGGAAUCGCUAGUAAUCGUAGAUCAGAAUGCUACGGUGAAUACGUUCCCGGGCCUUGUACACACCGCCCGUCACACCAUGGGAGUGGGUUGCAAGAAGAAGUAGGUAGCUUAACCAAAGAGGGCGCUUACCACUUUGUGAUUCAUGACUGGGGUGAAGUCGUAAAAGGUAGCCGUAGGGGAACCGUAGGGGAACCUGCGGUUGGAUCACCUCCUUACCUUAAAGAA